Long non-coding RNA from Oncorhynchus kisutch (coho salmon), 255 nucleotides. RefSeq lists it as uncharacterized. The transcript is spliced from 3 exons. NCBI's taxonomy places the organism in Eukaryota, Metazoa, Chordata, Actinopteri, Salmoniformes, Salmonidae. The record is from RefSeq and is a predicted model, not a curated record.
UCUCAACAGGCUUCUCUCUCGCGAGGGAGUGUCUGGUUCUCGAACAACAUUGUCCUUGUCCGCCAAUUAGGUCAUAUUACUGGGAAUCUAUUUACACGGAGAGGAAUUAUGGAAAGAUACAACUUUGAGGUUUGGACGUCACUCUACAGAUGAACCCUCUAUCCUGACACCUCUGGAGCAGUGCUGCAGGAUCCGUCACUCUACCCUCCUGUGUCUGUCUGCGUCUCCUCUCCCUGCCCCAGUACAGUCUGAUGU